CUUAUCCUUCACCAGAGUCAAUUCCCACGCUCCGAUACUCUACGUUACGAUAAUUAUAAUAACGACGCUGCCGAGUCAUUUGCACCAUUUUUUUUUUCAAAGUGUGCUUACCCAAAUCAAAUCUCAUCAUAUUUUUAACAACAAUUAAACCCACCGAUGAUCGGAAGCGAUCCAAUGAGGAUAGUGAUGAGGAAGACAUCUAGGUGCAAGUAAAAUUUCUGGUGUUUCUGGCCUGGAACCUCUCCAAGAACUACCCGGUAACAUAAGAGGAUGAUACGACGAUGAUGGAACUGGAGGUAUUUACACAAUAUUGAAAAGCUGAAAAUGAUAAAUUACCUGGGAAACUAAUAGAGAAGUGACUACAAGUACAAUAGUCAGUGGAAAUAACACUGAUGGUGCUGAAGAAUAGUUGGCCAGGGCAUAACCCAUUGCCAGAUCAAAAACGACAUCGCAGAAAUAAGAUGCCAGAGAAAUUAUGUUGAAUAAAACAUCACAAAGUGGUAGAAAUUCAUGCUGUUGUUGUAGUUGCUGAUGCUGGGCCAUAAUGGGCCUCCGUGGGCCAUUGGGAUCAUCCAGUAGGUCGUUUCAGCAAUGUCAAAUGAUGAACAACAGUCUGCUAAACAAAUUUAAAAAUCAUAUUACUCAAAAUUAUCCAUUAUUUAGCUUUUGAAUAAUUAACUAACAUCAGCUAAAUUUUAUAAAAUAUUUUUUAUCAACAAUUUUUACUCCAAAAAUUGAAAAACUGUGGAUUCAAAUGACACAGUGGGAUUGUUUAUUCACCAAAUAACUUUAAAGAAAUGAACUAACUUGAUUUCUUGAGGUCACAAUCAUUACUAACGAUAAGUAAUUGUUGUAAAUGUAGCUCAAAUAUAAAAUACUCACCGCAUUCUUCACGUGUCAUUGACGAGAUCACUCAAGUGACAUUCUUAACCUGGAUGCUGCUGGUCAACCUGGACCAGCAGUGGAAUCUAAAGAAUUUGCUCCAGCAAUCCUAGUUUAUUUGGGGAUGAAAAACAUGAUAAAUUAUAAGAGAAGAAUUCGCACUACCUGUUGAUUCGACAGGACUAUUUUAUCGUACACAAAUACAAUUAAAGGACUUUUAGCUACAUAUAAAAUACAAAAGCAC
This is a long non-coding RNA of Chelonus insularis, 1126 nucleotides long. RefSeq lists it as uncharacterized. NCBI's taxonomy places the organism in Eukaryota, Metazoa, Arthropoda, Insecta, Hymenoptera, Braconidae. The record is from RefSeq and is a predicted model, not a curated record. The transcript is spliced from 4 exons.